UAUGGCGGAACGCAGUAGACGCUCACACUCAUUCAUUCACUGACAGGAGCGCACAUACCGUCGGUGAGUAGCGACUAAACUUCGUGAUCCAGGACUCACUGGUGAUGGGUUUAGCACGUGGGAGCGGCUCUAGAUCCAGACGAUCUUGUAAAGUUAUUGGUUUGCGUUCUGAGACGUACAUCUUUGUAUUAUUGUAGUUAGCGCUUGUGUUAGCAACAUGCUAUCCCGUCUCGGUCGCUCAUGGCGUGAGGCACGUUCAGUGAGCCCGAUUGCAUUGUGGGUAACGUAGUCGCGUAUUGUUGCGCUCUCACUGUGUUGCGUGUUUAAUGCGAGCCUUGAGAACUACAUAUUUUUUGCACCGUGGUUUAGCGAUGGUCCAGUCUAACAGACUUUAUGUUAUUGCUUCUUGUGUUUAGUAAUAGAAACAGAGAAGCAUUACACGCAAUCAACUCAAAUGUUUAUUGUUGUGCAUGAUAUUUUGAAUUUACAUUCUAUGAAUAUGUUGUGAUUUUGGUUUAUUUCUGUGUUUCUUCCAGGUUUAUAACCAGUGCAAUGGCUGUGCAAUGUUACAUUAAAUAACAGCAACUAGUCAAGCACGAGUUGUAACAGUGUGUUUCCUGUUAAGCCCUUUCCGAGGGCUAAGCUCAAAAUGUCGGAACAAUAAGAGGUGAGUUCAUAUCUAGUGUUGCCUUGGGAACAGAAGAAAGGGAAGUUUAAAUUGUUAUUCUUAUUUACUGUGUUCUUUAAGAAUUAGUCUUAAUGAAUCAAUCAUGACAGCUUAAUGACAGACCUUUGACCUGCCGCUGCUUCUGAUAGUGUAACCCAUUAUUAACAAGGAUAUCAAAGCGACAAAAAUCAUGUAGCCCCUCAACAAUCUCUUAAUACAACAUGACAGAUAGCUCUAUAGUUCACCCACUUAAAGCACUGCUGUCAUGGAAACACACAAAACAAACAACCAUCAUUCACACAAAUAUUGAUCCACUCUGAACAGGAUCCAUUGUGCACAUGAUACACAAUACAGCCAUGUGAUCCAGCAGCAAAAUAAAAGAUGAAGAAAGAUUAAUAGCUGUCUCACACUGAUGUGAGGAGCACACAGGAAGUCAGUCAUCGUUUGAUCUUGUAAUGACAACAAGUCUUUAGCUUCAGGUAAUUGAUAAAAGGAUGUGGCUGUAUCUUGUGUAAAUGUAGACUUGUGGAUGGAGAGGUAAACAUCCUCCUCAGGUGUAGAUCUUGCGCCUGGUUGGUCAUCAUUCAGAGGGUCACAGUCUGGUUGGCUGCUGGCAGGUCUAAUUAUACUUUCAUAGACAAAUAUUAUUACAAGUCAUCGAUACCCAAAUUUAAGGAUAAAAUGAUUCAGUGAGACUACAGAAAAUAACUCUGGCUCUGUUUUUAGGUGUGUCAGAGGUCGCUGUUGUUGCUAAACUAACCAUUGAGCUUUAUUUAAUGUUAGACUUUUGAUUUACUUUCGGCAUGUUCUGAUCCAACUUCGUCUUAUGGAAGUUUCUGAAAACAAAACCCUAUUUACAGCCACCAUUGGCCAAAAUCCCUGCACAAAUAUUUUUGCAAGCCAUAAAAAAAGCUGGUAGUAAAGCUCCUAUUAGUGUUCUCCAAAAAUACAUAUCCCAAAGAUCUGUGAUCCCCGGAGGGACAAGGAACACAUUCCUCUUCCUGGGUUCCUCCCCACAUCCCGGGCAAGAAUAGAAACUGGGGAGUCAACCCGCAGAGCUCAGAGAGAGGCCCACAACAGAGAACACACACGCUCACAUCAGGAGGAGGCAUGAAACUGGACUCUUUCAGAGCACUUAUACUGUUUGGUCAGAACCGCUUGCUAUGUACUGCUGCUGAGUGUGUCUUUGUCUUUGGGUGUUUUGAAAGGCACCUAUUUAUUAAAUGCAUUAUCAUCAUUAUUAGGAAGAAAAUUCAGACAGCGUUGUUUUCAUUUUAUAUUCAGGUUAGGAAUCCAGAUGCCUCUCUUUGACUUUUAUAAACUGGAAAAGCAUAAAGAGCACUUUUUCACAGUGGAUCCAGAAGACUUUUUUUUUUUCUUUGAGAGGGAAUACAGCACUUUUUCACGUCAUUCACAAGAGGGCAUCCAGGGAGCACUUUUUUAUAUUUGUAUUUUUGUCAGACAUCAAGAGGGCACUUUUUAAAAAUAAUUUCUAUUCACCAGCUAAAGUAAAGAACGUAAGAUAGGUUCUUAUCAAUGCCCUGGGUUGCUUGCCUUUUUUUUUUUCCUUGGGCUGGUAAAUAUUAGUGCUGUAUUAUUAUUGUGGUUAUCAUUCUUCUUUGGGCCUCAGCAGUUAAGAUAAUCUGCAUAAAAAACCCUACAAAAAGCUGUUUUUAGCUGCAUGUUUUUGUGUUGGUCUUUGCUAAAGCAUGAAGAUCUUAUACCUCAGCAUGUUUCACCUCUGUGAAGGAUUAAAAACCUUCAUGGGUUCAUGGACAGCCAAUCCUGUCCAUAAAGAACAUACUAUUACAAAAGUCAUGUGCCAUGGAAGAAGUAAAACAUUUUGUAACGUGGGUUUGUGUACAUCCUCUUCUUUUCUUUUUCUUUUCUUUUCUUUUCUUUCUGAUGACUCAAGAUUUUUUUUCUGUACUCAGAAACAGCAGCAGCAGCAAAACCACAGAGUUAGUAUGCGCCCUCUUUUUGGCUCACAUCAAGUUUCAUCAGGAGGAUUGGGUAAAGGUGGAUUGUUGUGAAACAUGCAUGCUAACAUUUCCUUGAAAAUGGAGACAUUACAGAAGUCUUGAUACCAACUGUGUGCGUUAUGUGGCUGUUGAGACCACUUUAAAAACCCCAUUGAAGCUCGAAAGCCCAGCUGUAUGUGAAGAUACUGAAGCUAUUGUUGUAGAGCCUAUAAGAGCAGCUUUUAAAACUGUUGAUACCAAGUGUGGUGAUAACUGACUUCCACACUAGCACCAAUAAAUUUUGCCUUGGAUUUACAUUUAUUCUUCUAACCAUAUGUCCUGUGUAUUACAGGUUAGAUAAUAACACAUUGGCUACUGUGGUCAGACUGGAGGAAAAGGCAAAAUAAACCGCAGGAUGUUUUUGUGUUUACUCAUGACAGUUUAGCACAACCUGUGAAUAUUAGUUCCUCUGGGUAUUUUCUAAAACCACAUGCUUUUCUGUCUUGUUGGACUCCUUACCUUCUGAGUUAACACCAGCUCCUUCUCCAUUUGUUGUGUUUGGGUCUGAACUCUUCUCUGAAUGUCCAUCCUACUUUUGACACUUUAAAUGGUAGGAUGCUGUUGUGCCUCAGACUUUGGACCAGGAAUGGACACGAUUAAUCAAUAGUUGAUUAAAUGAUUGUUAAGAAUUACAUCGAUCACACAAAAUUUCGAUCAAUGUAAUGUUAUCAAAAAAGGGCUGACAGCGUGCAUCCAUCCUCCAGCAGCUUUUCAGGGAUGCCCUCUUUGUCCUGUCAAUGUGUGUUGAAGCAAUGCUGUGACUAUCACCAUGCGGAAGGAUUUUGCCAUUUUACAAGAGGAGUGAGCGGACAUAGAAGAAGAAAAAUCGAUAGAAGUGGGAAAAAAAAAAGAACACGGAGAAAGCAAGACGAAGUGUGGUGUGGGACCAUUUCUAGCGGAAACAUGAUGAGGUUUGCUGCAAACACAGUGAAGCUGUGGAGAGGUACAACAUGACAACGACCCCAAUUAUGUACCACUUGAACCACAUACAUCUGACUGAGGUUAAUGAAUCCUCCAAGUGCUCUCAGUCUCAACCUACCGUCAGCUCCUUGCUAGCAAGGAGUAACAAUAGGGUGACCAGACAUCCCCAAUUUCGAGGGACAGUCCUCGUUUUGGAUGGAUGGCCUGUACCCGCCUAAAGUUGUCCCCAGAAAUGUCUCAGAUUUUAGCGUUUCAUGAAUGAGAAAAAAAAUGUUGCCUGUAGAAUUGAACAACAGUUAUUAUGGUGGCCAGGCAGGUAGGAAGCACAAGUGAGCAAUUAGUGUCAAUAUAUUAGGUAAAUAUUUCAAUGAGGCAAAAACACGUUUUUGUGUAUUUUCUGCCAUUCACAUUAAAAAAAAGGAUAAAAUGGAUGAUUGAUCAUUAAUUUUUUAUGAUUAAUCGAUCGGAUUAUAAGAAAGGGCCUUUCUUAAAAUGCCCAUUCACACUUUGGACUGAGUUUCUUGGGUUUCUGUUCAUCUGUGGAGCAGUUGCUUUUUCUCUCUCAUAGCAGUGAUGUACCACACUAUAUUUUACUUCUGUCAACUAAACACACCCAGGUUUAUUUACACAUCGUGGGCACACUGCAGGAAAGUGAAGAUUGCAUCAGUUGGAAAGCAGUAAUGAUGCUCGUGUUGCACACUCUCAUUUUCUGUGUUUAUCCAAGUUUGUUAAAGACACCCUGAAAACAGAACAGUGCCGCCCUGAGAUGGACACGGCUGUGUCAAUGUCCUCUCCUCCUCCACAAACUGUGUCUGGAUAAAGCUUCCUGCUGCUUUCAGCUACUGGAAGCUGACCAGGUCUCAGUUUGAUGACCUUUGUGAAAACAUUAGUGAACCCAAGAGACUCAUUUCUUGAGUUUGGAAAGUGAAAUGUUACCCCAUUCUUGCCUGUUUUUUUUUUUGGUUGUGAUGAAAGUGGAAGUGAACAAAGAAAUCUUCAUGUGUCUUUACUUGUAAAUUAAAAGAGACUGACUGCAUGAUUCACAUUUCCUGGACCCUUCCAAACAUACAGUACAUCCAUUGUGUAUAUGAGCAUUGCUGCAGACCAUACACAGUUUGCUCACUAUGCAGUGGAAACGACGUUGAUCUUGGCAGUGGGAGACAAUAAAACAAACAGAUUUUUCCAGUUUUGGCAGCAGAUGGUUUGCAUUUAAAUCUAAACAUUGUGCAGAAUGCUUUUCCUUCUGCAGAGGGGGAGGGAGCAACACUUCAGAAUGAAGUCUUGAAGCCAAAGUAAAAUCUCAGCAGCUGGCCAAGUAAUUGUCCAGACCCAGGCGCUCAUCAAGAACCAAAUCAGCCCCCUGCAGAUGUAUUAAGUUUAAAUAUGACCGAUUUCCUAUUCAAAAACAUAUUUUCUUCCUCAGCCCCAGACAGAGAAGGAUCAGCAGGCGUAAGAUGAGCUGUCUUAAGGGAUCCACAGUCAACACAUGCAGGAUUUUCUUUCCCUGCUCUCCAUAUCGACGAGUGCCAGUGGGAGUCGGAGCUGUGUUUCUGUGCCUGAAGACACUCUGCCACUGAGAGUCUCAAGCUGCAGUCCCCAAACUCGGAGUGCUGGCUGUGGCUCUGCUCAAUGCCAUGUUCCUUACAUCACUCAAAACCAAUAUUUGACUAGUUGCAGUCCCCAAACUCACACCCACAACGGUGGCUUUUUGAAAACAGAGAAAGAGGCUGAAGUCUGAGAGCCGUUCCCACUACAGCCCUCCUCCUUUCUCCUUUCUUCCUCCAUACUUCUUUUAUUUUUGGGCAAGUUUUCAUGUCUGCCGACGCCGAUCCCCUGGGCUCAGAGCGGUUUUCUGCUGAAUGUGGC
Non-coding RNA from Xyrichtys novacula (pearly razorfish), 5475 nucleotides. The record is from the annotation of a GenBank genome assembly. Lineage: Eukaryota; Metazoa; Chordata; Actinopteri; Labriformes; Labridae.